UGCUGCCGUGGAUGUAUGUUUGUC
This 24-nucleotide non-coding RNA is filed under the name Rattus norvegicus (Norway rat). Lineage: Eukaryota; Metazoa; Chordata; Mammalia; Rodentia; Muridae. The record is from RNAcentral.